UAUACGAUGAAGAGUUUGAUCCUGGCUCAGGAUGAACGCUAGCGGCAGGCUUAACACAUGCAAGUCGAGGGGUAUGGUUCUUCGGAACCAGAGACCGGCGCACGGGUGCGUAACGCGUAUGCAAUCUACCUUUUACAGAGGGAUAGCCCAGAGAAAUUUGGAUUAAUACCUCAUAGUAUAAUGACUCGGCAUCGGGAUAUUAUUAAAGUCACAACGGUAAAAGAUGAGCAUGCGUCCCAUUAGCUAGUUGGUAAGGUAACGGCUUACCAAGGCUACGAUGGGUAGGGGUCCUGAGAGGGA
Molecule: ribosomal RNA, 300 nt
Filed under: Massilia sp. CCM 8734
Lineage: Bacteria; Pseudomonadati; Pseudomonadota; Betaproteobacteria; Burkholderiales; Oxalobacteraceae
Description: partial 16S ribosomal RNA
Rfam family: Bacterial small subunit ribosomal RNA
Source: RNAcentral